AAAUAAAAAAGUAUACUAUCAAUCUUAAUUAUAGUACAUAUUAAAGUACACAAGCUAGAGAAAAAAAAAUUUGGACCAAAGUAAAUAUUCAACUAAAAUGCAAAAUUCAAUCCUGCUCUAUUAUCUAUGAAUUGGUGUGCAAAAUAAUUUACAUUUACAUAUUGAUGUGCAAAAUAAAAUGAUAACUAAAAUUGAUAUGAAAAAUUACAAAUGACAUU
This 218-nucleotide long non-coding RNA is filed under the name Ananas comosus (pineapple). RNAcentral describes it as "long non-coding RNA (ACOM_LNC010453)". Lineage: Eukaryota; Viridiplantae; Streptophyta; Magnoliopsida; Poales; Bromeliaceae. The record is from RNAcentral.